This 478-nucleotide ribosomal RNA is filed under the name uncultured bacterium. Its description in RNAcentral is "partial 16S ribosomal RNA". It matches the Rfam family "Bacterial small subunit ribosomal RNA", at positions 30 to 523 of the family's 1533-position model. The record is from RNAcentral.
AUUGAACGCUGGCGGCAGGCUUAACACAUGCAAGUCGAGCGGAGUGAUGGUGCUUGCACUAUCACUUAGCGGCGGACGGGUGAGUAACGCGUGGGUAACCUGCCCUAUACACACGGAUAACGUACCGAAAGGUACGCUAAUACGGGAUAAAGUUGUUAGAUGGCAUCUUCUAACAAUCAAAGCUCCGGCGGUAUAGGAUGGACCCGCGUCUGAUUAGCUAGUUGGUGAGGUAAUGGCUCACCAAGGCGACGAUCAGUAGCCGACCUGAGAGGGUGAUCGGCCACACUGGAACUGAGACACGGUCCAGACUCCUACGGGAGGCAGCAGUGGGGAAUAUUGCACAAUGGGCGAAAGCCUGAUGCAGCAACGCCGCGUGAGCGAUGAAGGUCUUCGGAUCGUAAGGCUCUGUCCUCAAGGAAGAUAAUGACGGUACUUGAGGAGGAAGCCCCGGCUAACUACGUGCCAGCAGCCGCAGUAA